GUCAAAGCGUUCAUUAAAGUCGAGUUGGCUUAGGGAUACGUUCGUUGGGUAGGGGAGCGUUCUGUAAGCCUGUGAAGGUGUGUCGUGAGGCAUGCUGGAGGUAUCAGAAGUGCGAAUGCUGACAUAAGUAACGAUAAAGCGGGUGAAAAGCCCGCUCGCCGGAAGACCAAGGGUUCCUGUCCAACGUUAAUCGGGGCAGGGUGAGUCGACCCCUAAGGCGAGGCCGAAAGGCGUAGUCGAUGGGAAACGGGUUAAUAUUCCCGUACUUGGUGUUACUGCGAAGGGGGGACGGAGAAGGCUAUGUUGGCCGGGCGACGGUUGUCCCGGUUUAAGCGUGUAGGUGUGUGUUCCAGGUAAAUCCGGUUCACUUUAACACUGAGGCGUGAUGACGAGGCACUACGGUGCUGAAG
RNAcentral lists this ribosomal RNA (410 nucleotides) under Salmonella enterica. RNAcentral describes it as "partial 23S ribosomal RNA". It matches the Rfam family "Bacterial large subunit ribosomal RNA", at positions 1181 to 1590 of the family's 2925-position model. Lineage: Bacteria; Pseudomonadati; Pseudomonadota; Gammaproteobacteria; Enterobacterales; Enterobacteriaceae. The record is from RNAcentral.